RNAcentral lists this ribosomal RNA (235 nucleotides) under uncultured bacterium. Its description in RNAcentral is "partial 16S ribosomal RNA". It matches the Rfam family "Bacterial small subunit ribosomal RNA", at positions 100 to 334 of the family's 1533-position model. The record is from RNAcentral.
CGGGACGGGUGAGUAACGCGUGGAUAACCUGCCUCACACUGGGGGAUAACAGUUAGAAAUGGCUGCUAAUACCGCAUAAGCGCACAGUACCGCAUGGUACGGUGUGAAAACCCAGGUGGUGUGAGAUGGAUCCGCGUCUGAUUAGCCAGUUGGCGGGGUAACGGCCCGCCAAAGCGACGAUCAGUAGCCGACCUGAGAGGGUGACCGGCCACAUUGGGACUGAGACACGGCCCAA